This 429-nucleotide ribosomal RNA is filed under the name Bacteroidota bacterium. RNAcentral describes it as "Bacteroidetes bacterium partial 16S ribosomal RNA". It matches the Rfam family "Bacterial small subunit ribosomal RNA", at positions 355 to 776 of the family's 1533-position model. Lineage: Bacteria; Pseudomonadati; Bacteroidota. The record is from RNAcentral.
UAGGGAAUCUUCGGCAAUGGGGGGAACCCUGACCGAGCAACGCCGCGUGAGUGAAGAAGGUUUUCGGAUCGUAAAGCUCUGUUGUUAAGGAAGAACGAGUGUGAGAAUGGAAAGUUCAUGCUGUGACGGUACUUAACCAGAAAGGGACGGCUAACUACGUGCCAGCAGCCGCGGUAAUACGUAGGUCCCGAGCGUUGUCCGGAUUUAUUGGGCGUAAAGCGAGCGCAGGCGGUUAGAAAAGUCUGAAGUGAAAGGCAGUGGCUCAACCAUUGUAGGCUUUGGAAACUGUUUAACUUGAGUGCAGAAGGGGAGAGUGGAAUUCCAUGUGUAGCGGUGACAUGCGUAGAUAUAUGGAGGAACACCGGUGGCGAAAGCGGCUCUCUGGUCUGUAACUGACGCUGAGGAUCGAAAGCGUGGGGAGCGAACAGG